RNAcentral lists this antisense RNA (153 nucleotides) under Serratia odorifera DSM 4582. RNAcentral describes it as "sok antitoxin (CssrC)". It matches the Rfam family "sok antitoxin (CssrC)". From Rfam's summary of the family: Also identified in Shigella as CssrC. Lineage: Bacteria; Pseudomonadati; Pseudomonadota; Gammaproteobacteria; Enterobacterales; Yersiniaceae. The record is from Rfam by way of RNAcentral.
GGGUGCUCUGGAUCUGUGUAUCUGGAGCCAGCGUGAAGGGGACAAAGAGAUAAGCCCCGAGUCGAUGUUCAUCAACCCGAGGCCUACUUUAACGCACGACAACGUCAAACUCGCCUCUUACCCGCUGCCAGGCAAGGAGAAGAAGGCAUGAUG